CGCCUCUUGAAUACCCAUAAGAGGUCCAGCCUGCCCAGUGACCCUGUUCAACGGCCGCGGUAUCCUAACCGUGCAAAGGUAGCGUAAUCACUUGUUCUUUAAAUAUGGACUAGUAUGAACGGCACCACGAGGGCUAUACUGUCUCCUUUUCCCAAUCAGUGAAACUAAUCUCCCCGUGAAGAAGCGAGGAUAAAAUUAUAAGACGAGAAGACCCCAUGGAGCUUUAAACAAUGUAGCACCUGCCCCACGAUAUAAAAAUUUCUGAAUUCAAACCCACCAAGCAGCAUGACUAUAAGUUUUUGGUUGGGGUGACCACGGAGCAUAAAACAACCUCCACGCUGAAAGAAUCUUUUUUAAGCUAAGAACUACCCAUCUAAGCAUCAAUUUAUUGACACCCAUUGACCCAAUAUACUUGAACAACGAACCAAGUUACCCUGGGGAUAACAGCGCA
This 451-nucleotide ribosomal RNA is filed under the name Wolterstorffina parvipalmata (Cameroon Wolterstorff Toad). Its description in RNAcentral is "partial 16S ribosomal RNA". It matches the Rfam family "Bacterial large subunit ribosomal RNA", at positions 1832 to 2484 of the family's 2925-position model. Lineage: Eukaryota; Metazoa; Chordata; Amphibia; Anura; Bufonidae. The record is from RNAcentral.